Non-coding RNA from Irpex rosettiformis, 107 nucleotides. The record is from the annotation of a GenBank genome assembly. Lineage: Eukaryota; Fungi; Basidiomycota; Agaricomycetes; Polyporales; Irpicaceae.
GCCCGCCUAGCUCAAUCGGAUAGAGCGUCAGACUCUUAUGAGCGCGGGUGUACGUCACGUGCUGUCACGUGAUCUGAAGGCUGUGAGUUCGACCCUCGCGGUGGGCU